Molecule: ribosomal RNA, 253 nt
Filed under: uncultured bacterium
Lineage: Bacteria
Description: partial 16S ribosomal RNA
Rfam family: Bacterial small subunit ribosomal RNA
Source: RNAcentral
UACGUAGGGAGCGAGCGUUGUCCGGAAUCAUUGGGCGUAAAGAGCGCGUAGGCGGAUCAAUUAGUCUGCUGUGAAAGUCAAAGGCUCAACCUUUGAAAGCCGGUGGAUACUGUUGAUCUAGGGUACGGAAGAGGCGAGUGGAAUUCCUGGUGUAGCGGUGGAAUGCGCAGAUAUCAGGAGGAACACCAAUAGCGAAGGCAGCUCGCUGGGACGUUACUGACACUGAGGCGCGAAAGCGUGGGGAGCAAACAGG